RNAcentral lists this ribosomal RNA (464 nucleotides) under uncultured bacterium. RNAcentral's name for it is "bacterial SSU rRNA". It matches the Rfam family "Bacterial small subunit ribosomal RNA", at positions 331 to 793 of the family's 1533-position model. The record is from RNAcentral.
CCAGACUCCUACGGGAGGCAGCAGUGAGGAAUAUUGGUCAAUGGGCGGGAGCCUGAACCAGCCAAGCCGCGUGAAGGAAGAAGGCGCCAGGCGUCGUAAACUUCUUUUGUCGGGGAACAAAGGGCGCCACGUGUGGCGUUGUGAGUGUACCCGAAGAAAAAGCAUCGGCUAACUCCGUGCCAGCAGCCGCGGUAAUACGGAGGAUGCGAGCGUUAUCCGGAUUUAUUGGGUUUAAAGGGUGCGUAGGCGGUCCUAAAAGGCAGCGAAAAGAGCCGGGGGCACACCCCCGGCGAGCCGUUGAAACUGUCGGACUAGAGACGGCGAGAAGUACGCGGAAUGCGCGGUGUAGCGGUGAAAUGCAUAGAUAUCGCGCAGAACUCCGAUUGCGAAGGCAGCAUGCCGGCUCCACACUGACGCUGAGGCACGAAAGCGUGGGUAUCGAACAGGAUUAGAUGCCCGGGUAU